AGGGAAAGGCGAAAAGAACCCCGGCGAGGGGAGUGAAAAAGAACCUGAAACCGUGUACGUACAAGCAGUGGGAGCCCCACCACCAAAGCAUUCUCUGGUGUUGAAGGCCCUGCAAAGCAGCAUCGCGGUGGCGGAGCGUCGUUUGCGACGCCCAACACACAAAACAAGCGGUGAGUGCUUUGGGGUGGGGUGACUGCGUACCUUUUGUAUAAUGGGUCAGCGACUUAUAUUCUGUAGCAAGGUUAACCGAAUAGGGGAGCCGGAGGGAAACCGAGUCUUAAUUGGGCGUUAAGUUGCAGGGUAUAGACCCGAAACCCGGUGAUCUAGCCAUGGGCAGGUUGAAGGUUGGGUAACACUAACUGGAGGACCGAACCGACUAAUGUUGAAAAAUUAGCGGAUGACCUGUGGCUGGGGGUGAAAGGCCAAUCAAACCGGGAGAUAGCUGGUUCUCCCCGAAAGCUAUUUAGGUAGCGCCUCGUGAAUUCAUCUCCGGGGGUAGAGCACUGUUUCGGCUAGGGGGCCAUCCCGGCUUACCAACCCGAUGCAAACUGCGAAUACCGGAGAAUGUUAUCACGGGAGACACACGGCGGGUGCUAACGUCCGUCGUGAAGAGGGAAACAACCCAGACCGCCAGCUAAGGUCCCAAAGUCAUGGUUAAGUGGGAAACGAUGUGGGAAGGCCCAGACAGCCAGGAUGUUGGCUUAGAAGCAGCCAUCAUUUAAAGAAAGCGUAAUAGCUCACUGGUCGAGUCGGCCUGCGCGGAAGAUGUAACGGGGCUAAACCAU
RNAcentral lists this ribosomal RNA (785 nucleotides) under Salmonella enterica. RNAcentral describes it as "partial 23S ribosomal RNA". It matches the Rfam family "Bacterial large subunit ribosomal RNA", at positions 506 to 1190 of the family's 2925-position model. Lineage: Bacteria; Pseudomonadati; Pseudomonadota; Gammaproteobacteria; Enterobacterales; Enterobacteriaceae. The record is from RNAcentral.